RNAcentral lists this ribosomal RNA (465 nucleotides) under uncultured bacterium. RNAcentral's name for it is "partial 16S ribosomal RNA". It matches the Rfam family "Bacterial small subunit ribosomal RNA", at positions 338 to 795 of the family's 1533-position model. The record is from RNAcentral.
CCUACGGGUGGCAGCAGUAGGGAAUAUUGCUCAAUGGGGGAAACCCUGAAGCAGCAACGCCGCGUGGAGGAUGAAGGUUUUAGGAUCGUAAACCUCUGUCAGCAGGGAAGAACGGUCACUGUGCUAAUCAGCAGUGAAUUGACGGUACCUGCAAAGGAAGCACCGGCUAACUCCGUGCCAGCAGCCGCGGUAAUACGGAGGGUGCGAGCGUUAAUCGGAAUUACUGGGCGUAAAGCGCUCGUAGGCGGUAUGUCAAGUCAAGGGUGAAAUCCCCGCGCUCAACGUGGGAACUGCCUUUGAAACUGGCAAACUGGAGUGUGUGAGAGGAUAGUGGAAUUCCAGGUGUAGGAGUGAAAUCCGUAGAUAUCUGGAGGAACAUCAGUGGCGAAGGCGACUAUCUGGCACAUAACUGACGCUGAGGAGCGAAAGCGUGGGUAGCAAACAGGAUUAGAUACCCGUGUAGUC